RNAcentral lists this ribosomal RNA (449 nucleotides) under uncultured bacterium. RNAcentral describes it as "partial 16S ribosomal RNA". It matches the Rfam family "Bacterial small subunit ribosomal RNA", at positions 29 to 523 of the family's 1533-position model. The record is from RNAcentral.
AACGAACGCUGGCGGCAUGCCUAACACAUGCAAGUCGAACGAGAUCUUCGGGUCUAGUGGCGCACGGGUGCGUAACGCGUGGGAAUCUGCCCUCUGGUUCGGAAUAACAGUUGGAAACGACUGCUAAUACCGGAUGAUGACGAAAGUCCAAAGAUUUAUCGCCAGAGGAUGAGCCCGCGUAGGAUUAGCUAGUUGGUGUGGUAAAGGCGCACCAAGGCGACGAUCCUUAGCUGGUCUGAGAGGAUGAUCAGCCACACUGGGACUGAGACACGGCCCAGACUCCUACGGGAGGCAGCAGCGGGGAAUAUUGGACAAUGGGCGAAAGCCUGAUCCAGCAAUGCCGCGUGAGUGAUGAAGGCCUUAGGGUUGUAAAGCUCUUUUACCCGGGAUGAUAAUGACAGUACCGGGAGAACAAGCUCCGGCUAACUCCGUGCCAGCCGCCGCCGUAA